UCGUUUAAUUAGUUGUAUUUAGUUCCACCUGAGUCCCUCCUUCACUGCUUCAUCAUUAUUCUUUUUUGACGGAUGUGGAUCGGACGGGUUUUAUUCGCAAGCCAAACAUUCCUCCCGCUGUGCCAACCUCACCUGUGGGGUCCCUAGGGCUCAAUACUGGGUUCCAUCCUGUUCUCCAUCUACAUGCUCUCCCUCAGCCAAGUCAUUCAUCGCCUUAAAAUUUCCUUUCAUUUCUACACUGAUGAUACUAAAUCUAUCUUCCACUCAAGACAGACGAUCCCUCUGGACUGGACCAUUUGAAGGACUGCUUGCAGGACAUAAAAGAGUGGAUGUCAAAAUUUCCUGCAGCUCAAUGACAGAGUGAAAUUCUUCUGUUCGGGAACUCCAACCUCCCAACCGUGCACAAUAGCCAAGAUCAAGUAUGUCCUCUCCCCCAGUGACUUAGAGGGUCGUGUUCAUGCUCAUCUUCUGCAGACUGGACUAAUGGAAUGCCCUCUAUGCUGGGGUCACUAACAAGACCAUAUAUAGCAUGCAGUUGGUACAAAAUGCUGGUGACAGGCACAAAAAUGAGGGAACACAUUUCUCCCAUCCUCUCCUCCCUUCACUGGCUCCUGGUGAAGCACAGAGUGAAAUUUAAGAUCCUUACGUAUGUCUUCAAAGCGCUCCGUGGUCUUACCCCAGCUUACAUCAAACAUCUCCUGGACCAACCUAUCAGCUCCAGGCUUGGUCGUUGCCUCAGAUCUGACAACCAGAUGACCUUGAAGGUCCCACAGUCAAACCUAGUGACAAAGAGAGACUGUGCAUUUUCAAUGAUGGUACCUGGCCUAUGGAAUAAGCUCCCCCUGAAAGUCAAGUCCGCCACCACUCUGGACACUUUUAGAGCACAGCUUAAAACUCACCUCUUUGCCGCAAAUGACUUGAUUUGUGUUCAUGUGUCUUAAAUGUUUGUUCUAAAUUCCUUUUGUGUCCCUGUUUUUUUUUUUUUGUU
Nerophis ophidion (straightnose pipefish) is the source of this 988-nucleotide long non-coding RNA. RefSeq lists it as uncharacterized. The record is from RefSeq and is a predicted model, not a curated record. NCBI's taxonomy places the organism in Eukaryota, Metazoa, Chordata, Actinopteri, Syngnathiformes, Syngnathidae. The transcript is spliced from 2 exons.